This 207-nucleotide ribosomal RNA is filed under the name uncultured bacterium. RNAcentral describes it as "partial 16S ribosomal RNA". It matches the Rfam family "Bacterial small subunit ribosomal RNA", at positions 568 to 774 of the family's 1533-position model. The record is from RNAcentral.
CGUGUAGGCGGUCAGGUAGGUCAGUUGUGAAAACUGGAGGCUCAACCUUCAGACGUCGACUGAAACCCCCUGGCUAGAGUCCGGGAGAGGAGAGUGGAAUUCCUGGUGUAGCGGUGGAAUGCGCAGAUAUCAGGAAGAACACCCGUGGCGAAAGCGGCUCUCUGGAACGGUACUGACGCUGAGACGCGAAAGCGUGGGGAGCGAACA